This 253-nucleotide ribosomal RNA is filed under the name uncultured bacterium. Its description in RNAcentral is "partial 16S ribosomal RNA". It matches the Rfam family "Bacterial small subunit ribosomal RNA", at positions 524 to 776 of the family's 1533-position model. The record is from RNAcentral.
UACGAAGGGGGCUAGCGUUGCUCGGAAUCACUGGGCGUAAAGGGUGCGUAGGCGGGUCUUUAAGUCAGGGGGGAAAUCCUGGAGCUCAACUCCAGAACUGCCUUUGAUACUGAGGAUCUUGAGUUCGGGAGAGGUGAGUGGAACUGCGAGUGUAGAGGUGAAAUUCGUAGAUAUUCGCAAGAACACCAGUGGCGAAGGCGGCUCACUGGCCCGGUACUGACGCUGAGGCACGAAAGCGUGGGGAGCAAACAGG